Molecule: ribosomal RNA, 465 nt
Filed under: Vreelandella stevensii
Lineage: Bacteria; Pseudomonadati; Pseudomonadota; Gammaproteobacteria; Oceanospirillales; Halomonadaceae
Description: partial 16S ribosomal RNA
Rfam family: Bacterial small subunit ribosomal RNA
Source: RNAcentral
CCUACGGGUGGCUGCAGUGGGGAAUAUUGGACAAUGGGCGAAAGCCUGAUCCAGCCAUGCCGCGUGUGUGAAGAAGGCCUUCGGGUUGUAAAGCACUUUCAGUGGGGAAGAAAGCCUUGGGGCUAAUACCCUCGAGGAAGGACAUCACCCACAGAAGAAGCACCGGCUAACUCCGUGCCAGCAGCCGCGGUAAUACGGAGGGUGCGAGCGUUAAUCGGAAUUACUGGGCGUAAAGCGCGCGUAGGCGGUCUGAUAAGCCGGUUGUGAAAGCCCCGGGCUCAACCUGGGAACGGCAUCCGGAACUGUCAGGCUAGAGUGCAGGAGAGGAAGGUAGAAUUCCCGGUGUAGCAGUGAAAUGCGUAGAGAUCGGGAGGAAUACCAGUGGCGAAGGCGGCCUUCUGGACUGACACUGACGCUGAGGUGCGAAAGCGUGGGUAGCGAACAGGAUUAGAUACCCCUGUAGUC